This 392-nucleotide ribosomal RNA is filed under the name uncultured bacterium. Its description in RNAcentral is "partial 16S ribosomal RNA". It matches the Rfam family "Bacterial small subunit ribosomal RNA", at positions 523 to 918 of the family's 1533-position model. The record is from RNAcentral.
ACACGUAGGUGGCAAGCGUUAUCCGGAAUUAUUGGGCGUAAAGAGGGAGCAGGCGGCAGCAAGGGUCUGUGGUGAAAGCCUGAAGCUUAACUUCAGUAAGCCAUAGAAACCAGGCAGCUAGAGUGCAGGAGAGGAUCGUGGAAUUCCAUGUGUAGCGGUGAAAUGCGUAGAUAUAUGGAGGAACACCAGUGGCGAAGGCGACGAUCUGGCCUGCAACUGACGCUCAGUCCCGAAAGCGUGGGGAGCAAAUAGGAUUAGAUACCCUAGUGGUCCACGCCGUAAACGAUGAGUACUAAGUGUUGGAUGUCAAAGUUCAGUGCUGCAGUUAACGCAAUAAGUACUCCGCCUGAGUAGCACGUUCGCAAGAAUGAAACUCAAAGGAAUUGACGGGG